AUGAAGAAUAAGUACAAGGUUGAGAAGGCCCAUUGGCCAAAUAUUUCCUUCUUACCAAAUCUUGCUGAUUUGGACGAACUCCAUAUCUGGAGGCAUUAUUUUGUCCAUGUGGUGAUGGCGGGGUGGGACAUUAAUCCCAUUCAUGCGGUGAGGCAUUACUUUGUCCAUCUGACGGUGGCGGGAAAGAGACAUCAUUCUGAUUAUGUUCGUGUGACGGACCAACAUUUUCAUCUUGCACUGAGGCUGAGGCAGACCGCAUUGGGUUUGGGGACUGAUGCAGCGUACCUGUUCCUUCUUUUCUCCACCGAUUCGACGACUCGCCGUGAUAUGGCGAUAGGCGGCGAGUACGGCGUACGGAGGGAUACGGACGAAAGCCAAAGACAGGUUGACUGGGCCUUCGUCACGCGCUGGGCUGCACUUGAGUUGUGCUGGGUGGAGCCUUGUACAGGUGUCCCUCUAGAAAAAUUAGGGGUGUCCCAGGGUCGGCCCCCUGGACACCACAUGCCCAGAUUGCUCAUUCCAUGGUCGGGCACGCUGAUGGCUACAACGCUAACUCCAAACACACUGCUGGUUGAGCCUGCGCAGGCCCUUGUGUGUGAUCAUAGCCACACCGGCCUUGCUUGCUGUCCAUGUGCUGCUCCCCAAUGUCGCCCCAUGCCUCAGCGCGCCGCGUUAGCAACUGUCGCUUGUGGAUGUUAUACUGCUCAUGCAAUCCGUGUGUGCGGCGUCAGUAGAUGUAAGAAGGGAAGGACCAUCAAAUUGUGUGAUUACCUGCAGAAGUUCGUGCAAACGACACGAGGGAACUUAGUGCCCCAUCAUUCCUUCGGUGUGGGCCAACCAGCAAAAUAUUCCAUGAGCCAUCUAAAUUGUGUGGAGGUCGGACAAGUAGAACUGCAGAAUGUGCAAGAACUUGACAAGGGGUUGAAAGAUGAGAGGGAAAAGGAGAUCGGGGGGUUACUCCCGAAUUGCCACACGCAGCCUUCUCUCCCCCAGAAACGCCGCCGCCGCAGCCGCCGUCUCCUCAUCUCGUUUCUUUCAGCCGCCGCCAGAUCUGGGGAGCCACCGGGAGGAGAACAACCAGCCAGACGCCACCCCCGUCGACCUAACCCGCAUCUCCCUCGCGCCCAUCGUCCCCUCUUGGCGCCCCCGCCUCUCCUCUCCCCCAUUCUCCUGCCGCAUCCCAUCCCCUGCUCUGCCCUUGCUCCUCCGCCGUUCGAGUUGAGUCGUUGCUGCAGAGAGCGCCGCCUUCACUCUCCCAGGCCUUCUCCCCAUCCGCGACGUCGGCACACGGUGCGGGCAAGCUGUGGCGUGUCGUCGCCGUGCUGGGUUGGCCGGCCGGUGCCGCGCGGAUCCGGUUGGACGAGGUCGUUGGCGACCUGCCGCGGGAGGGGGACAGCGGGAUCUGCGCCAGGAGGUCCAGGGCACGUUGCUGCCGCUCGUGCAGCAGAACGACGGCCUCACCGACGCGUCCGGGGAGAACUGCGUUGGCCUGGUCUUGUAAUGGGCAGCAGCAGCCCGCACCCGAGGUGCAGAGCAGCUAGAACCAGUGAUAAUCGUGAGAUCCUGCGGACAACGAUGGAGCUUCUUAAUCAGCUGGAUGGAUUUUAUAAGCUUAGCAAGGUUGAAGGUGGAAUCGAACUCCGAGCUCGAGGUUGCGCUGGUGCAGUGGUGGCUGCGAUCGGGCCCGAUCUAGGAAAAAUCUUCCUCGUUUUUGGUCUGCAUGGCGAUGAUCUGUUUCUUCAGGAUCCGCUCGUUGCCAGAGCUGGCUCGGGACGCCUCCUAGACGACGACACACUUGAAGCGAGCGGAACACUGAAGGAGGAUCUCGGGGAUGAAGGAAGCGUCAGCGACGACCUCAGGCGAGAGAGCUGGCGUGGGAACAUCAGUAAGGGCUUGGAGCCUGUCAAAGAGGAGGCAAAGAGGACACUGCUGAUGAAACAUGAGGCCGAGACAAAAACAAAUGCCUAUUGGCUCAGUUUGCUAACCCAUAUGCAGUCUGCAUUCGUGCCGAGAAAGCAUCUACAGCCGAAGACAUCAAAUGCAGCCCCUCAAACGCCCACGUCCGCGGCCACUAACCGAGCACUCAUCAUUUUGCUGUCCGUGUAUCUCAAAUCCGGCCUCUCAUAUAUAUGCAACACAUGCAUGUAUCCCCGCAAAAAAACACAUGCACGGUGGAGGAAAUCACCAUUUCCUCGCCGCCCCCAUCCCCUUGCAGUCGGUGGUGCUGCUUUGGCCUUCGGUGUAGGCAUCAGCCGCUGGAGGGUUGUCAUCGUCGUCGGAGCUUUGAUCUGUCAUCGGAGUCGUCCAACAGCUCCAUGUGACCCCGGCAAGCCUCCGGAGCAAGGGUUCUCGCUCCUCGCCUCCGUGCACCCAUCUUCGCCGUUGCCAAGGAGCGUUACGGAUGCAAUGAGUGCGUCCUCGAGAUCGACAGGCGCGCGCAAGUGUCUGGCGCCUCGCCGACGCAUCGCCCGCCGCCAUGGCAUCCCUCACGCAGUGCGGCCCACGUCUCCGACUCGGGCGUCCUCAAGCGGCCCAGCGCCGACGAGGAUACAAGCACCCAACGGUGCCCGUGGAUGCCCUUCGGAGGUAGAAUGGACGUGGUGGCGGUGGCGUGGCGUACUUGGAGUGGGUGUCGCUCCCACCAGUGCUGCGCUGGACGGGGCGGCCUGA
Molecule: ribosomal RNA, 2670 nt
Filed under: Triticum aestivum (bread wheat)
Lineage: Eukaryota; Viridiplantae; Streptophyta; Magnoliopsida; Poales; Poaceae
Description: partial small subunit ribosomal RNA
Source: RNAcentral